This 67-nucleotide transfer RNA is filed under the name Ashinkailepas seepiophila. RNAcentral describes it as "tRNA-Ile". RNAcentral also lists the same sequence under 1 other name. The record is from RNAcentral. Lineage: Eukaryota; Metazoa; Arthropoda; Thecostraca; Neolepadidae.
AAUAAGGUGUCAGAAAAAUGAAUUACUUUGAUAGAGUAAAAAAUGUAAGAAAAUCUUACCCAUAUUA